RNAcentral lists this ribosomal RNA (540 nucleotides) under uncultured bacterium. RNAcentral's name for it is "bacterial SSU rRNA". It matches the Rfam family "Bacterial small subunit ribosomal RNA", at positions 969 to 1509 of the family's 1533-position model. The record is from RNAcentral.
CCUUACCUGGCCUUGACAUACUAAGAACUUUCCAGAGAUGGAUUGGUGCCUUCGGGAACUUAGAUACAGGUGCUGCAUGGCUGUCGUCAGCUCGUGUCGUGAGAUGUUGGGUUAAGUCCCGCAACGAGCGCAACCCUUUUCCUUAUUGCCAGCGGGUUAAGCCGGGAACUUUAAGGAUACUGCCAGUGACAAACUGGAGGAAGGCGGGGACGACGUCAAGUCAUCAUGGCCCUUACGGCCAGGGCUACACACGUGCUACAAUGGUCGGUACAAAGGGUUGCUACCUCGCGAGAGGAUGCUAAUCUCAAAAAGCCGAUCGUAGUCCGGAUCGCAGUCUGCAACUCGACUGCGUGAAGUCGGAAUCGCUAGUAAUCGCGGAUCAGAAUGCCGCGGUGAAUACGUUCCCGGGCCUUGUACACACCGCCCGUCACACCAUGGGAGUUUGUUGCACCAGAAGUAGGUAGUCUAACCGCAAGGAGGACGCUUACUACGGUGUGGCCGAUGACUGGGGUGAAGUCGUAACAAGGUAGGCGUAGAUGA